RNAcentral lists this unclassified non-coding RNA (346 nucleotides) under Hevea brasiliensis (rubber tree). Lineage: Eukaryota; Viridiplantae; Streptophyta; Magnoliopsida; Malpighiales; Euphorbiaceae. The record is from RNAcentral.
GUUGCUAUCAAGAUAAAGACCCCAAAGAUUUGUCAAGUUUUCUAUGGAAGUUGGGAUUGUACCAGUGAGACUAUUUAUUGAAAAAUCAAUCUGAGUGACAAAUUUCAACAUUCCAAGUUCUUGAGGUAUGGAGCCUGAAAGUUGGUUCUUUUGAACGUAGAGAAUUUGCAAUGUUGUCAAACUCCCUAUAGAAGCUGGUAUUGUACCAGUGAGAGGAUUGUGUGAUAAAUCAAUGUAAGUGAGAGAAUUCAACAUCCCAAUUUCUUGGGGAAUGAAACCAGAGAUUUCAUUGACAGAAAAAUCAAGGAUUUUGAGCUUGUAUAGAUUGCCAAUAUGGGCAGGAAUG